Long non-coding RNA from Girardinichthys multiradiatus, 377 nucleotides. RefSeq lists it as uncharacterized. The record is from RefSeq and is a predicted model, not a curated record. The transcript has 3 exons. NCBI's taxonomy places the organism in Eukaryota, Metazoa, Chordata, Actinopteri, Cyprinodontiformes, Goodeidae.
CUGGAAGCUAACAGUAGCGCGCAAGCUAGCAGCCGGUGGACAGCAACCAGCAGACUGUAAUGUUCAAGCAAAUUACAUCACCAGAGAAGGUGCUAGAAAGACAAGCUAUGUCUUGUUAGAAAGAUUUUCCCGUCACCACUGAAUCCUUGUGGACAGGAUCCACAGAUGAAGGAGCCCAUUGUGUUGCUGCAGCUCACUGCAGGGAAGCAUGGCUGGAGAAGGCACUCGUCAAUAUCUUCUCUACAUGCAGACUAAAGCCCAGCUCCUCCUACCCGUCAUUCCAGGAGGGCAGACGCAGGAAAAAGAGUUGGGUCCAUCGAUGCAGCGGCCCAGUCUGCAGGGGUUUGGUUUGCAGUCAUCUAUGUCGACCUCACAUC